RNAcentral lists this long non-coding RNA (207 nucleotides) under Mytilus galloprovincialis (Mediterranean mussel). Lineage: Eukaryota; Metazoa; Mollusca; Bivalvia; Mytilida; Mytilidae. The record is from RNAcentral.
CUGAAAUAUUAACUAAUUACAGGAAACAACUGAAAUACAUUACAUAACCAGACAUUUGCAACACAAAAUGUAGACACAUCCGAAUAAGUUUAAACCUGAACGCCAAGUGACGUCAUAUUUGAAAUUGUAAAAAUUGACCAAAAAAUGACGUCAUUUGAAUUUGUAAAACAGAUAAUUAAAAAAUGAAAAAUUACGUCACAUUUGAAU